This is a long non-coding RNA of Erinaceus europaeus (western European hedgehog), 278 nucleotides long. RefSeq lists it as uncharacterized. NCBI's taxonomy places the organism in Eukaryota, Metazoa, Chordata, Mammalia, Eulipotyphla, Erinaceidae. The transcript has 2 exons. The record is from RefSeq and is a predicted model, not a curated record.
AACAGAUUUACCGUUCUUAAUAAGAGACAGAGAUAAUGAAGGCAAAUUAAAAUGGAAGCUCAGAUCUGCAUGGAGAACAGAGAGUUACUAAGCCACCUGCUCCCCAGCCCCCAGGCAGGAUGGGACAGAGACUUCAGUGGUCUCUUUCUGGUCGUCUCCUUCUGGUACUCCUCAGCUGCCCAGGUCAUCCCAGUCCAGCUUAUCUCCAAAAGUUAUAAAUGGAGAUCCAGGUAAAACUGUCUAAUAUGUAAAUGUUAUAAGUAAAGGUGGACAUGUGG